RNAcentral lists this long non-coding RNA (528 nucleotides) under Theobroma cacao (cacao). RNAcentral describes it as "long non-coding RNA (TCAC_LNC002795)". The record is from RNAcentral. Lineage: Eukaryota; Viridiplantae; Streptophyta; Magnoliopsida; Malvales; Malvaceae.
GAAAAGCCUCCCCAAUUUUAUUUCCCCUACUAUCUUCUUCUUUGAUUUUUAAAUUUGCUAAAGCACCAAAGUCUAUACUCCUGUAUAUCCCACAAUAAUGGCCCAGCCCGAAACCCUAGAUUCUCCGCUAUCAGCAUCUUCUUCGUCAGAUCCACAACUGUCGCGGAACUUGUCAUCCAGUCGACUCAACGCUCAGGCGCCUGAGUUUGUGCCUACUCGCUCUACGCCUCAGCAGCAGCAGCAGCAGCAACAGCAACAGCAACAGCAGCAGCAGCAGCAGCAGCAGCAGCAAAGUCAUAGGAUGAUGAUCCCUCCUCCUCCGCCCCCUGCGAUGCUGCACGUCUACCCUCCUCCUCCGCCUCCGCCGGCGGCGUUUCACCUCCCCGUCCAUAGCCCAGUGCCUAUGCCGCCUCACAUGGUCCCCGUGCCCCAUCAUAUGCCCAUGCGGAAUCAUCACCACCAUCAUCAUCAUCCUCCGUUUCAGAAUCAUCCUCAUCAUCAUCGAGAGCAAGAAGUUGAGGCUGUUGU